AGGGAAGUCUGGGCAUCCCUGCUUAGACUGCUGCCCCCGCGACCCGGCCCCGGAUAAGCGGAAGAUGAUGCUAUGCUAUGCUAUGCUAGGCUCUGCUUACCUUUAUCAUGUGCCGGCUCAGAACCUGUGAAUCUCGUAUAGGUUGUCUGGACCGGGUCGAAUUCCUUCUCCUUUAUUCCAUCUCGGACGAGCCCACAAAAUUGUUGAAGUCUAACACUUCCCCGAGUUUGAUGGAAAGGAGAAUAACACACCAGGAGUCAGGUCAAUUACCUUACCGUAUAUUCCAUUUAUUACAGAAGCUUCUGGAGUGUCGCCGCACAAUGUCUGAAUAUUAACAGUCACAUUAGCAUUAUUUAUACUUCAAACACGCCUAAAAGUGGGGGGUUGAGGUAACCAAGCAUGUGUGCCAUUGGUCCAGUUUAUGUUCUAUACCUUAUAUGUGUAAAUGCAGCACAAACGUCAUCUUUGCUCUUUGUGGUUUCAGUCUUGAAUUCUUAAUUCAGCCCUGCCCAGAUGUGUGUGUGUGUUGUUAAUCUGUCCCUUCUGUUUCCUGUAGUCUGACACACAAGCUCAAUGUGCUCUUGUUCCCCAGCAACAGCCUACAUAAGAUUUCCUGUUUUCUACUUGCAACUUUAAGUUCCAGCUAUGCUACAGACAUUUAACAUUUUGCUUCAAUGCUCACAACAGUUUGACAGCUAAUACACUCAAUGUAUCCACGGGUUGCUUACUAUUUUUGUUUGUUCGUUUAUCCUCAAGUUUGGAUGUUUUGUGCUUCUUCGCAUAUCAACAGUUGAACAGGUGUAUGGUAACAUUGUUACCUAAUUUGUCUAAAUCGUGUUUCUUAGUGUAUCAACAAGCUAGAAUUUUAUAAUAUGUGCUUACUCCUUGUAAUUUUUAUCAACUAAUAUGUAACGUUAGCUAAAUCGUGUUUCUUUGUGUAACGUUAUCCACAUCAUGUGGAUACGUUACUCUUGGCAGUAAAUUUAGAUAGACUAGCUAAACCUGGACUUGUUGCAAUUCCGUUACUGAGGCGUCUUUGUGAAUCCCCAUUGUUCUUAGCUAGCCUGUAUGUGUCUUAUGCUGCUGUUUUUUUAAACCACUUUUAUAAACAAUGCUUUCAGGUGAUUACGUUUUCUGUAGUUUUGUUCCCGGAGGAGGAUGACUGUGUGGCAGUAGUUCCAUGCUUGUGGCUCAAAGUAGGACUUUGCUACUGGCCACCAAACAGCAUCACCAACAGGAAGUCCUUCAGGUGGUGAACAAGUUCUGGCAAACUUGUUGUGGCCGAAGACACCUGGGAGGCUGUCCCUUGUGGAAUCUGAGCAUUAACAAUUACAAUAUGAAUGUACGUUUCAUUGGAAGGGAAUGUGCCUAGAUAAUGAGAACAACAGAAACCUCUCUGUUUAGAUUAUCUCUCAGUAGGUAGCGCUCUAAUGACAGGAAUGUUUACGAUGGCCAUAUGGCAUGGGGGUUGACUUCUAAAAAGUUAGAAACGCCCUUAAUGUAUAGGCUAGCUGGUAACCAACAUUACAGUGAGAAGAGAUUGACUGAGAUGAGAUUGAGGUUGUGUAAGGAAGACCAGGUCCGUAACCUCAUGAACAAGACUUUCUAAUGCUGCAAUAAAUAAUAUACUUUCUCUCUCCCUUGACAAACGGGUAUGCUAAUUAUUACAACCACUAUACGAAACGGCCGAUUUCUAACACUUAUAAGCUCAUCAAGCAUGCAGGUGAAUUUGAAAACAUUAUAACAAUUUGAAACGUGGAAUGAAAAUAUGUUUUGCAGGGUAAAUACUUACAAAACUUUAACUUUUCCUAGACACGUGAGAGACCGGGCGUGUGUAUCGCCAAAGGAGUGAAAAUCGUUCCAGCGUGGGCCCCUACCACCCCAAGGACGCACAUCUACAACACAACACCCUGUGGAUUGUAGCCCUGGAGGUAUGCGAAUUACAUGUUAAUCUCGUAAUUGCUGCAAUGUUUACUUGGUUUCACCAUAUUUACCUGUUCACCAACUUUUAUGUUUAUUUUUAGGAUGGAGCAAGCACAGUACUCCAAGGCACCAGAGAGGUACUCCACGCCAUCAUGUAGAGGACGGCUACAUAGGUAAGUGUGGGUUCAUUCACUUAACCCAGAUGCUGAACUUGUUAUUAAAGCAUGUUGCUUCCAAUUUUAUUUUUCAAUUUCAAUUUAUUUUUAAGAGCAAGAAGGCAGAAGUAGGGGGAAGUUUUAGCUCUGCACAUGAAGGUUAGAAUGAACAUUUUGGCGGACACUGCAAUUUGAGUUCUCAUUGUUAAAUAACCAGAUAUUAAGGACUGAAUAAUUAACUGUCUGUCUUUACUUUCAGAACAUUUGGAGAAGAUCAAGUGGCUGACUGAAGAGAAGGUCGAGCUGGCUCUACAAUCUGGUAAAAACAAGACUAUAGUUACGCUAGCAUCUUGUCUUAAUGAAACUGCAUUUGUCUGAAUGUGUGCCCUUUACUAAAAUGCAAUACUGUAAAGCCUUUCUGAAAUUACAUGUAUAUAGUAGUUUUGUUUAUUUCACAAUUAAGCUAUUGACAUUUCAUUGUGCUUUUUAGCUUCUGAUAAACGUCUGACUGAAAAGAAUGUCAAGCCGAGGGUACAGCUGGCUCUACAAUCAUGAGCCAUAAUGAAGAAUCCUUCAAACCACUGAUGCCACUGAUGAGGCUGUCCACAACCAGGUCCUCAGGUACCAGAAAGGGGCAGCUGACCAUGCAAGUGGGAGAUGUCGCAGCGGUACAAG
Esox lucius (northern pike) is the source of this 2753-nucleotide long non-coding RNA. The record is from Ensembl. Lineage: Eukaryota; Metazoa; Chordata; Actinopteri; Esociformes; Esocidae.